CUGCAGCCUGCCCUUGAAGCAAGAAGGACUCUGAUAAACUGGAGCAAGUUCAGAGGCACCACCAGCAUCACUGAUGUGCUCAGCUUUGAGCAGCAGCAGGUUCACCUUGGAAAAUCUGGAGCCAGCUCUGUGAGACAUUGGGAUGGCUCCUGAUGUCAUCUCAGGGAAGCCACCCCUGCAACUUCCCCACUACCUUGCCAGAAUAAAAAAAUGUCAGCUAAAUGUGAUCAGCAGCAGGGCACAGAACUGUACAGACCUGAGUCUCCAGUCAGCCAAACCAAGGUAGAAACUUCUGGAGGAUAGAGAAAUGAAGAUAAGCUUUGGCUGUAAUUAUCUGAACUAAUUCAAGAGACUAGAGUGAGUACA
Pyrgilauda ruficollis (rufous-necked snowfinch) is the source of this 366-nucleotide long non-coding RNA. RefSeq lists it as uncharacterized. Lineage: Eukaryota; Metazoa; Chordata; Aves; Passeriformes; Passeridae. The transcript has 3 exons. The record is from RefSeq and is a predicted model, not a curated record.